This 254-nucleotide long non-coding RNA is filed under the name Elaeis guineensis (African oil palm). RNAcentral's name for it is "long non-coding RNA (EGUI_LNC070559)". The record is from RNAcentral. Lineage: Eukaryota; Viridiplantae; Streptophyta; Magnoliopsida; Arecales; Arecaceae.
UGGCCACAAUAGUGUGAUUGAUGAAAAAGAGUUUUCAUAGAAGUCAUAACUAGACUUAAGCUAAUCGAAUCGAUCAUAUGACUGAUGUUGAUAUUUGAUGAUUUAUUCAUGACUUACUAUCUAGUCGGGACUCACGAUAGAGGGACUGAAUCACAUGUUAACUAUACCUAGAGGUUUAUUUCAGUUCUACUUGGUUACCACUACAUACUAUUAGGUGUCACUGGUAGAUUAUGAGAGCUCACUAGGAUUGUUCU